ACCGGUCUCCGGUAGUGGCCCCCGGGCACCCGGCAUCUCGCCGCCACCCGGGCGCUUCGAUCGAAGACCGGC
This is a regulatory RNA element of Micromonospora echinaurantiaca, 72 nucleotides long. It matches the Rfam family "Actino-pnp RNA". Lineage: Bacteria; Bacillati; Actinomycetota; Actinomycetes; Micromonosporales; Micromonosporaceae. The record is from Rfam.